RNAcentral lists this ribosomal RNA (440 nucleotides) under uncultured archaeon. RNAcentral describes it as "bacterial SSU rRNA". It matches the Rfam family "Archaeal small subunit ribosomal RNA", at positions 19 to 458 of the family's 1478-position model. The record is from RNAcentral.
GGAGGUUACUGCUAUCGGUGUUCGCCUAACCCAUGCGAGUCAUAUGUUCUUCGUGAACAUGGCGUACUGCUCAUUAACACGUGAAUAACCUGCCCUUGGGACCGGCAUAACCCCGGGAAACUGGGGAUAAUUCCGGAUGCCGCAUAUAUGCUGGAAUGCUUUAUGCGUGAAAUGGAUUCUUCUGCCCAAGGAUGGGUCUGCGGCCUAUCAGGUAGUAGUGGGUGUAAUGUACCUACUACCCUACAACGGGUACGGGUUGUGAGAGCAAAAGCCCGGAAAUGGAUUCUGAAACAUGAAUCCAGGCCCUACGGGGCGCACCAGGCGCGAAAACUUUACAAUGCGGGAAACCGUGAUAAGGGGACACCGAGUGCCACCAACAUUUGUUGGCUGUCCAGGUGUGUAAACUACACCUGUUAGCAAGGGCCGGGCAAGACCGGUGC